GACGAACGCUGGCGGCAUGCUUAACACAUGCAAGUCGAACGGAAACGCCCUGCUUUUGUUGGUUUCUCUAGUGGCGAACGGGUGCGUAACACGUUAGUACCUUUCCCUUCUCUUUGUUAUUACUUCACGAAACUGGGGCUAAUACCCUAUUGCAUCUCCUUCUCCAUGGUAGGCGUUUGAAAGUUUCGGCUGUUUUGGAUGUACUCGCGGCUUAUCCGAUUGUUGGUGUGGUAGUGGCUUACCAAGGCUUUGACGGGUAGGCGGCCUGAGAGGGGUACCGGGAAAAGGGGGACUGAGAUACGGGACAGAGUCGUAAGGGAGACAGGAGUAGGGAAGAGUGCACAAAGGGGGGAAGUAGGAUGCAGGAAGGCCGCGUGAGGGAUGACGGACUGCGGGUAGUAAACAGCAAUGGGCGGUGACGAAGCGUGAGUGAAGGUAACGGAUAAAGAAGCACCGGCUAACUACGUG
Molecule: ribosomal RNA, 468 nt
Filed under: uncultured bacterium
Lineage: Bacteria
Description: partial 16S ribosomal RNA
Rfam family: Bacterial small subunit ribosomal RNA
Source: RNAcentral